This 484-nucleotide ribosomal RNA is filed under the name uncultured bacterium. RNAcentral's name for it is "partial 16S ribosomal RNA". It matches the Rfam family "Bacterial small subunit ribosomal RNA", at positions 29 to 507 of the family's 1533-position model. The record is from RNAcentral.
AGUGAACGCUGGCGGCAGGCCUAACACAUGCAAGUCGAGCGGCAGCGGGUCCUUCGGGAUGCCGGCGAGCGGCGGACGGGUGAGGAAUGCGUCGGAAUCUGCCUUUUUGUGGGGGAUAACGUAGGGAAACUUACGCUAAUACCGCAUACGACCUACGGGUGAAAGUGGGGGACCGCAAGGCCUCACGCAGAAAGAUGAGCCGACGUCGGAUUAGCUAGUUGGCGGGGUAAAGGCCCACCAAGGCGACGAUCCGUAGCUGGUCUGAGAGGAUGAUCAGCCACACUGGAACUGAGACACGGUCCAGACUCCUACGGGAGGCAGCAGUGGGGAAUAUUGGACAAUGGGCGCAAGCCUGAUCCAGCCAUGCCGCGUAUGUGAAGAAGGCCUUCGGGUUGUAAAGCACUUUUGUCCGGAAAGAAAUCCUGUCGGCUAAUACCCGGCGGGGAUGACGGUACCGGAAGAAUAAGCACCGGCUAACUUCGUG